UGUUUGUGAAAAAAAAAAGAAAUUAAUUCUUUUCCCUUCUUCUUCUUUCUGGAGAAACCUCUGAUGCUUGUAAUUUAUGAGUUAAUUGUGCUGGAGAAAAGGCUAAGUCUCCAACCUAACUGGCAAAUGAAUGAUUAUGAAUUCUCUAUAUAUGUUACUGUGGAGGGUGAAAGAGCUUUUUGUGUAGUGAAAGAAAGAGAUAUAACAGUGUUACUGCAAUGUAGUAUUUAAAAACUGCACCCUUUUUUCUCUCUUUCUUUCUUUCUGAUUCUAAAAUCUCUGCAAUGAAUCUCAAGGUUUACUGCAUCAAUGAUUAAGAUUUUUCAAAGAAAUGGGGGGGUAAUAGGACUGUGGGACCCAGACCUUAUCAGUUCCAGGUGUUGGCUCAGGUGCUGGGACCCAUAUGCUGGUCAUUGCCCAAACCAAUGUGCAAUGUCACUGACAAACAGGUGGAUCAUUCUUCUCUCUCUUUUUUUAUAGAGAUGGAUGGAAGAUUAGUUGCUUGCUGGCACCAUAGAGAUCGGUGGUGGGUGUUGAUGACCCUACUCUCACAGAUGACCCCACUGAUUUUAUUAAUCUGGACCGUUCGUUUGUGGGCCACCUUUUACGGGCACAUUGAAUGAUUGGGUCUCAGUGAGAAAAAUGUGGAAUCCGCAGUUUUCAUUCGAAUCACAUCCCCAGUUGUUACUGUCUUCUUCCCUCCAACAUCUUCGUUUCAAACCCUUCUCAUUUUCCUCUACUAAUUGGCAAAUGGAGCUUUCUUUCUAUAGAGGUUUAUAAUUAUGUGUUACCAGUAAAUCCAUCCUCUUUUUAUUUAACUGCCCUGGGGUUUCAUAUACUUGCACCACUUGUGAUAUCUAGUUUAAAGGGUUACAAAAUGUAACACAA
RNAcentral lists this unclassified non-coding RNA (888 nucleotides) under Hevea brasiliensis (rubber tree). The record is from RNAcentral. Lineage: Eukaryota; Viridiplantae; Streptophyta; Magnoliopsida; Malpighiales; Euphorbiaceae.